RNAcentral lists this ribosomal RNA (253 nucleotides) under uncultured bacterium. Its description in RNAcentral is "partial 16S ribosomal RNA". It matches the Rfam family "Bacterial small subunit ribosomal RNA", at positions 524 to 776 of the family's 1533-position model. The record is from RNAcentral.
UACGUAGGGUGCAAGCGUUGUCCGGAAUUAUUGGGCGUAAAGAGCUCGUAGGCGGUUUGUUGCGUCGGCUGUGAAAUCCCGAGGCUCAACCUCGGGUCUGCAGUCGAUACGAGCAAACUAGAGUGUUGCAGGGGAGACUGGAAUUCCUGGUGUAGCGGUGAAAUGCGCAGAUAUCAGGAGGAACACCGGUGGCGAAGGCGGGUCUCUGGGCAACAACUGACGCUGAGACACGAAAGCGUGGGUAGCAAACAGG